Molecule: ribosomal RNA, 253 nt
Filed under: uncultured bacterium
Lineage: Bacteria
Description: partial 16S ribosomal RNA
Rfam family: Bacterial small subunit ribosomal RNA
Source: RNAcentral
UACGAAGGUGGCAAGCGUUGUUCGGAUUUACUGGGCGUACAGGGAGCGUAGGCGGUUGGGUAAGCCCUCCGUGAAAUCUCCAGGCUUAACCUGGAAAGUGCAGAGGGGACUGUUCAGCUAGAGGAUGGGAGAGGAGCGCGGAAUUCCCGGUGUAGCGGUGAAAUGCGUAGAGAUCGGGAGGAAGGCCGGUGGCGAAGGCGGCGCUCUGGAACAUUUCUGACGCUGAGGCUCGAAAGCGUGGGGAGCAAACAGG